CCUACGGGUGGCAGCAGUGAGGAAUAUUGGUCAAUGGGCGAGAGCCUGAACCAGCCAAGUCGCGUGAGGGAAGACGGUCCUACGGAUUGUAAACCUCUUUUGUCAGGGAGCAAGGACCGCCACGAGUGGUGCGGCGAGAGUCCCUGAAGAAAAAGCAUCGGCUAACUCCGUCCCAGCAGCCGCGGGAAUACGGAGGAUGCGAGCGGUAUUCGGAUUUAUUGGGUUUAAAGGGUGCGCAGGCGGAAUGGGUAAGUCAGCGGUAAAAUUGCGGGGCGCAACCUCGCCGAGCCGUUGAAACUGCUCGUCUAGAGUGGGCGAGAGGUAUGCGGAAUGCGUGGUGUAGCGGUGAAAUGCAUAGAUAUCACGCAGAACUCCGAUUGCGAAGGCAGCAUACCGGCGCCCAACUGACGCUCAUGCACGAAAGCGUGGGUAUCGAACAGGAUUAGAUACCCGAGUAGUC
This 460-nucleotide ribosomal RNA is filed under the name uncultured bacterium. Its description in RNAcentral is "partial 16S ribosomal RNA". It matches the Rfam family "Bacterial small subunit ribosomal RNA", at positions 338 to 795 of the family's 1533-position model. The record is from RNAcentral.